AUGUUAAUUUGGAGCAUGCUGGGUGCACAGGAAACUGAAAGACAGGAGGGGAUUAAGGGAAAGGUGCUACCUGAUUUCAUUCGGGGCCUCCUCUUCCUCAUACCUCUUCUUUUCUUUCCUCUUUAUCGUCAGCCUCACCACCAGGAACAGGAGGCAGAGUCCCACCACGACGCCGCAAACUGCUCCAGCAAUCAUACCGAUAUUUUGGGCAUCUGUUGUCCAGACAAUAGGCAGAUUAACAGGGUAAAAGUCACCGCAUCUGUUGAUGUGGGCAGAGCAUCUAUCACAUCACCCUCCUGUCUGCAUCGGCCUGGACACACUGGUGCAUAUAAAACAACAUUUACUAUACAAGAUUGUGUUGCGAAAUCCCACCUGAUCUGGGAGAGGAGCAGCGCCGAGCAUGGAUUGGAAAGCAGAGGGAAGGGAAGAUCCCUUCAGAGAGGCACUCCGCUUCCUGCCCUGCAGCCAGAGGAGGGUUAACGAGGCACACCGCUCCUGUGCGAGCAGCCGUAUACUUGGCAGCGAGAGAUGUGCUACAGCGCGAGGGGAGGCAUGGAGCAGCUCCCGGCUCUGUCGGCUGCCUGGCGCUGAUCUCACACCUCCAGAGCCGGUGUCCGGUUCACAUCGAAGGGUCCCCUCCUCCCCAGCCCGCAUCCUGCCCCUCCGGGGGGAUCGUCUGCUCUCACGGAGACGUCGGGCUCCAGCACUGCGAGGCGCUGCUGCCGGCUGAUGAAUGGGCGCCCUCUGAGCAGAGCCAG
This 758-nucleotide long non-coding RNA is filed under the name Pavo cristatus (Indian peafowl). Its description in RNAcentral is "lncRNA (ENSPSTG00000016581.1)". The record is from RNAcentral. Lineage: Eukaryota; Metazoa; Chordata; Aves; Galliformes; Phasianidae.